CAUAACUGUUGAUGAAUAAUAUUUUCAAGAAUAAUCAUGAGCUUAAAUUACAUUCAAGAAAUUCAGAGCGAUGGAAAAUUAAUACAAAGGUGAUACAUAUGUGGGAGUAUAAAGAGAGAGAUGUGACCACAUCAAUUCACUUAAUCCUGGUGGACGAAAAAGGAAUAUCUAUAAUGGCUUGGACGGGAAAAUUUACAAUGCCAACUCAUUCCAAUUCCUGUGUGUUAGGAAAACCUUAUUUUCUAUUCAAAAUUUGGUGUUAAUCCUGCAGUGGGUGAGUAUAGAUCAACCAAACAUGAAUGGAAGAUGUUCUUCUAUAAUACAUCUAUAAUCGAAGAAAUUCCAAACUUGAAAAUUAGCAAAUCCAUUUUUUUUAACUUUGUUUCCUUCUCUGACAUUCUCGAUAAUGUUCAGAAUGACAAGUUUCUUUGCCUUUUUCUAUUCAUUAACAGAAAAAUUUUAAUUUUGGCAAAGUAAUUACUUUUAUAUCAGAUGUGAUUGGUGAUGAUUAUAAUGAAAAUUCCCUCUAAAAGACUUUGGGAUCACUUUGCUGAAAGGGCUUAUGAACACAUCAAGCAUAGAGAAAUUGUGAAUGAAAGAGUUAUUAUGAUAUUGCAGUAUGCCAAAAUGAAGAAUUGGACAGUCAAAAUUUCCAACUUCUUUUCCAAUUGAGCUCGAAUCCCUAUUCGAUCGGCGUUACUUAUUCCGCUACAAAGUAACUAACAACUUCAACAUUGAGAAAGGAAGCCGAACAUACACUGUUAAAAGGCUAACAAAGGAUCCUAGCAUUAUUGAUCAAUUUCUUGAGAAGAAUGAGGUUUCUCAAAAUGAGGGAAAUAAAAUUUCUGAGACAAAUUCGAUUCAAGAUGAAAACUCUAACAAGACACCAUUCAAAAGGAUAUAUCAAGAGGUCAAAUCAUGGAUGUAGAUAUGUCAUGUACAAAGCUCCCAAAGAUUGAGAAAUAGUCAUCAAAUUAGAACACUUUAAAUAUAUUUUAUUCAAUAAAGUCUUAGGGUUGUUUGCUUUUGAUUAUCUGAAUACUUAUUAUGUGUUUCCGGAAUAUUCAAUUUAAACUUUUGGCAUAUUCUUUUAAAAUAGAUUAGUAUGUUAUCCAUGGAUUAAACUACUUAUACUCUUUUUCUUAUUAGUAUUUCUUGUUUUUGCCUUUACCUUUUUACAUACUAUUUUUUAUUCGUUUCUACCUGGUUAUUUUUUUUAUUUGUAUGUAUUUUAUUUAUUUAUAUGUUUUUGACUACCGAGAUUUUUUUGAGAAUUUAUCUGUGGAACUUUCUCCAGUCGAAGAACUCUUUAGUCGCACUCUCCUUUAUGGGCAUGAGUUGCCGCUAGGUAUGUCAACGGGUCGGAUCUGGAUCAGAUCCACGUGGACCCAAAUCAAUAUCCAUUAUCAAUAGCAAGAACCAGAUCUAGACCCGAAUCCGCGGGUUUACUUUUUCAAGAUCCAUAUCCGAAUCCGUGGAUACUGCAAUCCAGUAUCGGAUUCAGGUCCAAAACGGGUCUGACUUAUUUUUUGCGUUUUUUUAUUUUUUAUUUUAUUUUUGGAUUGUGUUGAGAUUGCCAUAAAGCUAUAUUCAUUGAAUCAUGAUAAUAAUAUAUAUAAUUUCACAAUCGAUCACCCAAAAAACAUUAUACAACUUAAAAUUGUCUUGAAAUACCUAGUGAACACUGAAUUGCGGAUUUUGGGGUCUUGACUCUUGUGGAUUAGGGUUUGGCCGUUUGGGAAGAGAGUAAGAGUAAGGGAUUGUAUCACAUUACAGAAUAUAAGGGAUUAAGGUAAAAAAAUAAAGAUUGUAUCACAUUACAAAAUAUAAGGGAGUAAGGGAUUCAGACUUUCAGCGGAAGGGUGUUGUCAUGUUGCAAAAUCAGUUGAGCUUUUAAAAAUCCCGAAUCCCAAUCUAAGCCCAGCAUAUUUAAUGCAUAUAAAAUAAAAAAUAGGUCCUACAAAUCCACAAGUCCGGGUUUGGGUAUUUUUUUAAGAUCCGCAUCUAAACACGUGAAAUUUAAAAGGAUUCAAAUUUGACCCCGAUCCGUUGGGUCCAAUUUAGGGCCCAAAUCCUUGAAAACGAAAAUAGAUCUACGAAUCUUGAUCUGGUCCAAUACAGAUUGCCAUCCCUUGUCGCCGCCUUCCUUCCCUCCCCCGACCCUGAUCAUAGUUCUUAUGAGCGCGGGAUACACUAGGCAUGAUGAUGAUGAUGGAUGUUUCUAAGCCUUUGCCUAAAACUGUCCUAGUAGAAGGUGAGGAGGGCCACGUUAUUCAUCAAGAUUAUUUAGUGGGUGCCUCACUUUUGUUAGAAAUGCCAUGUUAUAGGGCAUAUAACCCAAGAAUAGACAUGUUGUGAAGGCUGUCAAGAAGAACACUAUUGUUUUGCCUUCUAUGCCUAUGCAGGAUAAUGUUGCACAAAAAUAAUGGCUACUGGAGUGGCUGGUGGGAGACCUCAG
Long non-coding RNA from Amaranthus tricolor (Joseph's coat), 2458 nucleotides. RefSeq lists it as uncharacterized. Lineage: Eukaryota; Viridiplantae; Streptophyta; Magnoliopsida; Caryophyllales; Amaranthaceae. The record is from RefSeq and is a predicted model, not a curated record. The transcript is spliced from 3 exons.